Molecule: long non-coding RNA, 1369 nt
Organism: Myotis brandtii (Brandt's bat)
Lineage: Eukaryota; Metazoa; Chordata; Mammalia; Chiroptera; Vespertilionidae
Exons: 5
Source: RefSeq, a predicted model, not a curated record
GAUGUUUUUUCUGUUUCCAGAAACCCCAACGGGGAGGGGCUGCCCCAUUGGCCCAUGUAUGACCAGAAGGAAGGGUACCUGCAGAUUGGGGUCCCCACCCAGGCAGCCCAGAAGCUGAAAGAUGAGGAAGUGGCGUUCUUCACCGAGCUCCUUGCCCAGGACACAGCCAGGACGUCACCCCAAACAGAGCAUAUUGAGCUGUGAAGGGGAGGCCCAUCCAGCCUCCACGAUCUGGGGGAGCUUAGAGGUAAUUCUACAGAAGGUGUUUAUGGCCAAAAAGGUUAUUAAGUCACCAGAUCAUCCGGAAAGUUCUAUCGUAAGCGACGGGCUUUCUUCGUUGUAAAUUGAGCACAAGAACAUUGUCAGGGAGGCAUGAAACUUUCUACACUGGAUGGGACCUUUGAUUAUCUGAUCCAAACCUGCUUUUAUGGGCAAAGAACUUAAAAUGCACCCCCUCUCCCAGGAACCCAGCUGGUCAGCUGCAACUCUAAAUGCUGUGCCGUUUCCGCCGCCCCACACUCCCUCUCUGUUCUUCUCCAUCCCAGGGCUUUCAAAGGAAAUAAACAAAUGAAAUGAGCUCGGGGGGCCUCUUGGCUAAGAAAUGACUUCUUUGGUAAGAAUGCUUCAGCCUCGCGUUACCAGGGCUGCAAAAUGGAUCCUCCCGCCCGGGCAGGAACCCCCUCUGAGAAUUAAGGCAGCUUUGGGGAUGUCUAUCCAGCAGGAUAUUUGGCACGAGUGGGCCACUCCCGUCUCCUCGGCAUCUGGAACGAAGGCCAGCUGACAGGUGGACGCCAAGUAUCUGGACGUUACUCUGCCACAGGGACUCCCAGCGUCAGAGUAACAACCCGCAAGUCUAGAGUUCCAACACGGGUGCAAGAGACUCAGACCAGAAACAGGAGCCCCACAUCAGUGCGGCCAAUGGAACCCAUCAUUUCUCCCAAUGAGCUGGAACUGACCACCCCCGCCACCAGAGGGCGCCACUUGCAGGUCGCUAUGGAAGCCAACCUGGAAAUUCCUACCUGCUCCACCCACCCAGAAUCCGGUUCCCUUAACCAGCCGUGGCUCUGGACCAGCUGACGGCGAGGGGCCGGAAGGAUGUUCCAGAUGGCACCUGUCAGACCCAGAUUAGCCAGAGUGAAAACCCAUGAAGUCGUCGUUCCUGCUCCCACCUCUCCUCUCCUCCCCGAGGCUCACCAGUCCACGUUCACAGCCCCCGGGCCCAACGAACAGAAGGCAAAGGAAAACCAGGUCACGAAAUCAUGGGGCAUGGGGACGGGAGGAAGGGGGGCGGGGGAGCAUCUGCCGGGAGAGGGAUCCCGGACAGCGGACAGCGUCUGGGUGGCGGCGAAGUGGGCGCCUGGACCUGGAC